Ruditapes philippinarum (Manila clam) is the source of this 858-nucleotide long non-coding RNA. RefSeq lists it as uncharacterized. The record is from RefSeq and is a predicted model, not a curated record. The transcript has 2 exons. Lineage: Eukaryota; Metazoa; Mollusca; Bivalvia; Venerida; Veneridae.
AUGAGAACAUUCCGAGGUAAAAUUUCAUUGUUCUUUUCUUUUUUAAACUAAGCUACUUUAGAUGUAUUACUACUUACAUUAAUUAAUCUGAUUUCUCAUUGUUUUAAAUGUUUCAUUUAAUUAUUAACAUAAUAAAAUGUUUUGUUCAUUAAUUUCAUUUAAAUAUCACACUUAUGAUUAAUCUAAAUCAAUACCGUUUUUAUACUAAAAAACAAUAACAGUUAUUUUGUUUACCAUUUCAGAUCAAUAUAUGACAAGACAAUAGUGCUUGUUUUGAAGCAUUUCACACAAUAAGAUUAACAAUCAUGGACACAAAUUCAUAUAUGUCAGAAGAGAAUAGACGUACCCUCUUGGUUCAAAUGGAGAAGUAAUGAACAGACCAGUAAGAUGGACACUAAAGAAGAAUUUUGCCAGAUGAAAGGAAUUCCAUUGGUAACAGUAAUGAACACAAAUUGACAACUGCUAUUUGAAUCGCCUUAAGUUGUAAUAUCUCUUUAUGGCAGUUGCAGAACAGAUGAAAAAGAAACUAUCAAACAGUUCAAAGAAGAAUUACAGAAAACUGAGGAAGAAAAUAAAAUGUGAUAUUGAACUUUUGAUACAAACAAAUUUUUAAAUGAAAACAGCUGCAUAUCUUGUUUAUUUUGGAUAUUCAACAUAUGUAUAUUCAUUACAGUUUUCAAUGUUUAAAACAUCAGCAAAAACAUUAAGAGCUUUUAUUAUGAAGCAAGCAAAACAAACAGCUUGACUGAUAGAAAGAGAUAGAUGUUGCAAGCUGACAAAAUGUAUUUUUAGCAUAUUUUAAAGGACCAUUUGUUUAGUCUUUUGUGUCUUAAUUCAAAUAAAAUAAUUAAAAAGAAA